CUAGUAACGGCGAGUGAAGCGGCAACAGCUCAAAUUUGAAAUCUGGCUCUCGGGCCCGAGUUGUAAUUUGUAGAGGAUACUUUUGAUGCGGUGCCUUCCGAGUUCCCUGGAACGGGAUGCCAUAGAGGGUGAGAGCCCCGUCUGGUUGGAUGCCAAAUCUCUGUAAAGUUCCUUCGACGAGUCGAGUAGUUUGGGAAUGCUGCUCUAAAUGGGAGGUAUAUGUCUUCUAAAGCUAAAUACCGGCCAGAGACCGAUAGCGCACAAGUAGAGUGAUCGAAAGAUGAAAAGCACUUUGAAAAGAGAGUUAAAAAGUACGUGAAAUUGUUGAAAGGGAAGCGUUUAUGACCAGACUUGGGCUUGGUUGAUCAUCUGGGGUUCUCCCCAGUGCACUCUUCCAGUCCAGGCCAGCAUCAGUUUUCCCCGGGGGAUAAAGACUUCGGGAAUGUGGCUCUCUUCGGGGAGUGUUAUAGCCCGUUGUGUAAUACCCUGGGGGGGACUGAGGUUCGCGCAUCUGCAAGGAUGCUGGCGUAAUGGUCAUCAACGACCCGUCUUGAAACACGGACCAAGGAGUCGUCUUCGUAUGCGAGUGUUCGGGUGUCAAACCCCUACGCGUAAUGAAAGUGAACGCAGGUGAGAGCUUCGGCGCAUCAUCGACCGAUCCUGAUGUUCUCGGAUGGAUUUGAGUAAGAGCAUACGGGGCCGGACCCGAAAGAAGGUGAACUAUGCCUGUAUAGGGUGAAGCCAGAGGAAACUCUGGUGGAGGCUCGCAGCGGUUCUGACGUGCAAAUCGAUCGUCAAAUAUGGGCAUG
This 809-nucleotide ribosomal RNA is filed under the name Fusarium phyllophilum. RNAcentral describes it as "eukaryotic LSU rRNA". It matches the Rfam family "Eukaryotic large subunit ribosomal RNA", at positions 80 to 919 of the family's 3401-position model. The record is from RNAcentral. Lineage: Eukaryota; Fungi; Ascomycota; Sordariomycetes; Hypocreales; Nectriaceae.